AGAACGAACGCUGGCGGCAUGCCUAACACAUGCAAGUCGAACGAGACCUUCGGGUCUAGUGGCGCACGGGUGCGUAACGCGUGGGAAUCUGCCCUUAGGUUCGGAAUAACUCAGAGAAAUUUGAGCUAAUACCGGAUGAUGACGUAAGUCCAAAGAUUUAUCGCCUAGGGAUGAGCCCGCGUAGGAUUAGCUAGUUGGUGAGGUAAAGGCUCACCAAGGCGACGAUCCUUAGCUGGUCUGAGAGGAUGAUCAGCCACACUGGGACUGAGACACGGCCCAGACUCCUACGGGAGCAGCAGUGGGGAAUAUUGGACAAUGGGCGAAAGCCUGAU
RNAcentral lists this ribosomal RNA (332 nucleotides) under uncultured soil bacterium. RNAcentral describes it as "bacterial SSU rRNA". It matches the Rfam family "Bacterial small subunit ribosomal RNA", at positions 26 to 387 of the family's 1533-position model. The record is from RNAcentral.